AGAGUUUGAUCCUGGCUCAGGAUGAACGCUAGCGGCAGGCUUAAUACAUGCAAGUCGAGGGGUAACAUGGUAGCAAUACUGAUGACGACCGGCAAACGGGUGAGGAACAUGUACGCAACCUUCCUUUAACUGGAGAAUAGCCCCUCGAAAGAGGGAUUAAUACUCCGUAACAUAAUGAAGUGGCAUCACUUUAUUAUUAUAGCUCCGGCGGUUAAAGAUGGGCGUGCACCUGAUUAGAUAGUUGGCGGGGUAAUGGCCCACCAAGUCUGCGAUCAGUAACUGGUGUGAGAGCACGACCAGUCACACGGGCACUGAGACACGGGUCCGACUCCUACGGGAGGCAGCAGUAAGGAAUAUUGGUCAAUGGACGCAAGUCUGAACCAGCCAUGCCGCGUGGAGGAUUAAGGCCCUCUGGGUUGUAAACUCCUUUUAUCUGGGAAGAAAUGCUUUGAUUCUUCAAAGCUUGACGGUGCCAGAGGAAUAAGCACCGGCUAACUCCGUGCCAGCAGCCGCGGUAAUACGGAGGAUGCGAGCGUUAUCCGGAUUCAUUGGGUUUAAAGGGUGCGCAGGCGGGUUUGUAAGUCAGGGGUGAAAUGUAACGGCUCAACCGUUGAACUGCCUUUGAUACUGCAAGUCUUGAAUAUAGUUGAAGUGGGCGGAAUGUAGCAUGUAGCGGUGAAAUGCAUAGAUAUGCUACAGAACACCGAUAGCGAAGGCAGCUCACUAACCUAUUAUUGACGCUCAUGCACGAAAGCGUGGGGAUCAAACAGGAUUAGAUACCCUGGUAGUCCACGCUGUAAACGAUGAUCACUCGUUGUUGGCGAUACACAGUCAGCGGCUAAGCGAAAGUGAUAAGUGAUCCACCUGGGGAGUACGAUCGCAAGGUUGAAACUCAAAGGAAUUGACGGGGGCCCGCACAAGCGGUGGAGCAUGUGGUUUAAUUCGAUGAUACGCGAGGAACCUUACCUGGGCUCAAACGCAUGAUGACGUUAGGGGAAACCUUAAUUUCUUCGGACAUUAUGCGAGGUGCUGCAUGGUUGUCGUCAGCUCGUGCCGUGAGGUGUCGGGUUAAGUCCCAUAACGAGCGCAACCCCUAUCAUUAGUUGCCAUCAGGUUAAGCUGGGGACUCUAAUGAAACUGCCUACGCAAGUAGAGAGGAAGGUGGGGAUGACGUCAAAUCAGCACGGCCCUUACGUCCAGGGCUACACACGUGCUACAAUGGCCAGUACAAAGGGCAGCUACCUGGUGACAGGAUGCUAAUCUCUAAAGCUGGUCUCAGUUCGGAUCGAAGUCUGCAACCCGACUUCGUGAAGCUGGAAUCGCUAGUAAUCGCGCAUCAGCCAUGGCGCGGUGAAUACGUUCCCGGGCCUUGUACACACCGCCCGUCAAGCCAUGGAAGCUGGGGGUACCUGAAGUCGGUGACCGUAAUAGGAGCUGCCUAGGGUAAACUUGGUAACUAGGGCUAAGUCGUAACAAGGUAACC
RNAcentral lists this ribosomal RNA (1483 nucleotides) under uncultured bacterium. RNAcentral's name for it is "partial 16S ribosomal RNA". It matches the Rfam family "Bacterial small subunit ribosomal RNA". The record is from RNAcentral.